AACGAACGCUGGCGGCAUGCCUAACACAUGCAAGUCGAACGAGACCUUCGGGCCUAGUGGCGCACGGGUGCGUAACGCGUGGGAACCUGCCCUUAGGUUCGGAAUAACUCCCCGAAAGGGGUGCUAAUACCGGAUAAUGUCUUCGGACCAAAGAUUUAUCGCCUUUGGAUGGGCCCGCGUUGGAUUAGCUAGUUGGUAGGGUAAAAGCCUACCAAGGCGACGAUGCAUAGCUGGUCUGAGAGGAUGAUCAGCCACACUGGGGCUGAGACACGGCCCAGACUCCUACGGGAGGCAGCAGUGGGGAAUAUAGGACAAUGGGCGAAAGCCUGAUCCAGCAAUGCCGCGUGAGUGAUGAAGGCCUUAGGGUUGUAAAGCUCUUUUACCCGGGAUGAUAAUGACGGUACCGGGAGAAUAAGCACCGGCUAACUCCGUG
This 433-nucleotide ribosomal RNA is filed under the name uncultured bacterium. RNAcentral's name for it is "partial 16S ribosomal RNA". It matches the Rfam family "Bacterial small subunit ribosomal RNA", at positions 29 to 507 of the family's 1533-position model. The record is from RNAcentral.